UUCCCGCCCUCGCGCGCCCCGUUCGCCCGCGGCCCUGAGAGGAACCGGGGCCCGGAGCCGAACCCCGGAGCCGAACCCCGCAGCCGAACCCCGGAGCCGAACCCCGCUCCUGCCCCGUCCUGCCACCCGUUAGCCCUUUCCCCCCGCCCCCGCCCCAGGGAGAGGGGUUUCCCUCCCGCCCGCCCAGCGCCAAACGGCACCGGUUGUUCCUCGAGUUAGACAAAACAUCCCGUUGGGACGUGUGACAGCUGAAAGAUUGUACCUGUGGCAGCAGCAGAUCCUGUCAGGAGGGAAUAUCCAGCAGAAACCAAGGUUGCUCAUGCAUGAGGGAAGAGGGUGAGACCUGAUUUCUUUAACUUGUUUGGAAGAGAGGAGGAUUAGGAAAGAGGCGUUUGCUCAAACAGGAUAUGGUGGGGGUUGUUUGGAUUUUUUUGUUUGUUUUGUUUACUUUAAUAAAUGUGUGUGUUCUUAGUGAAUCCACAAAGUGCCUCCCCUGGCUGAGGAGCUCAAACCCACACCCUCCCACCUUCCAGUGGCUCUUCCCCAGUCAAACCUUUUCCUAUUUUUCCCCUUCACGUUUGCCCUCUCCAUUUGGGCACGGGGCCGAGAUUCAUUGUGAACAAGGAUACCAGAGCCAGCAGCAUCACACCAAGAUAGAAUUUGGCUCAGAGAGUACAAAAAUGACAAGAGUAUAAAAAUGACAAGAGUAUAAAAUGACAGGAUGUCCCCCUCGCCAGCCCUGGGUCACUUUGGCAGCAGAGACAUCUCAGGCAUCUUCCAGUCCAAUCCCAGACUUCUUGCUGGGAAGAGACAAGAAAACCCUUCAGCUCCCCCUCAGGCUCCAGCUUACCAGGUCAAAGGUGUCCUGAAAAACCAGGAAAUUCUGGGGAGGCUGAAGAUCACACAGAGAUAUUCCUUGCCAAAAACACCAGGGUGGAGAUUUCCCACUCCUACCCAAGAGAGGUCAUAGCCAGCCCCACAGAGAAAAGGGGGUCCUUCCUCGGUUCAGCUGUCACCCCAAAUUCCCCUUCCUUGCUGCACUUUCCCAGGUUAUCCUCCGUGGUGCUGCAGAAACCCUUCCCCAGGGCUCACAGCACCCUUUGCUGUUUGAAGCCUCUGGAAUAACACUAAGGUGCUGGUGAAGAAUUCAAGCUUUUUUUGGAGGGGCCGUUCAUUUCUCAUGUGCUAAAACCAUCAGCAAAAAAAUACCCACAGACCUGAAAUGAUCUGAUUUUACAGUUGUGCUGGUGGAGAAAAACAGUGUCAGAUUUAAUCCUUCCUCCUGCUCCUCUUUCCCAGUGUUUUCCAGGGACCUUUUUUCCUUCCUCUAAGUUGAAGGACAUAAAGUUUCAGAUGGCUCUGAACAAGUUGAGCAGCAACACGGCCAGAGCUCAGAUUGCCUUUUCUUGACUAAAUUUGUUUGAUCUUCUUUUUUUUCCAGGCCUGGGGUGUCAGUUAAAAGAACACUACUCUUUUGUCUUGUGUGUUGCUCCCCUACAAAAUAAUGAACUGUUGAAUACACUAGAGGCAAUUUCAAAUUAUCUAGUUUAAUGAGGAAGGUUGUGACAGAAGAUUUAUUACCCUUUCUGAUCUGCUAAUGUAUUUUCCCAACCAUCCCAGCAGAACCAAUCACCAUAUUUUCAUUAUCCACUCUAUUUUCAGGGGUUCAUUAGUUGAAGACUAAAAAUAACAGCAAAGGUCUCAGUCUGAGAGCUAAUCCAAUUUUUUUUUUUUCUUUUAAUUGGAAACAAAAUUUGAUUAGACAACUUUCUAAUCAUAACAGCAUCAAGCACCAAGACCCUUACAGGGUGUUUUGUCCAAAUUGAAAUUUAAUGUGACUACACAUAAAGACCUGACCUAGAAAUAUGGCCUCAUCACUGCCACAAAGGACAAAACCAGCCUUUUCCUCCAACAACAAAAAACCAAACCCUGGUAGCACAAGUGAUGGACUGUAGACUAUUCCAACUGACAUGUGUGGGAAAAAAAAGGUCAAGCAAUGAACCUGUUUGAUUGAGACAAACUCAGAGCUGCUCUUGGCAGGUGGCUGAACAUGAGACUUAAGAACUAAUGAAGAUUUUUUUUUCUUCUUCUCAAAGAAUUAAAAAGAGAAAUAAGGAAAAGAAGAUGGAAGAGUUCCCAGACAGCCAAGAGGGCUUCCUACCUCACAGCUGGAUUCAGAUCUUUCUGAAGUUGGUACUUCCCAGGAAUGGCUUUGUCCCAGCAGGUUACAGCAUCUAACAUGGUGCUUUUCCAGCUGCAUCAUUUUGAUAUGAAAGAGCCACCAGCAAAACGAAGAAGACAGGGAGACAAACAGUUCUGGGUUUCACAGAGCAAGCUCUUGGCAAAAAGGUAUCACCACCACUGUGGUGGGAGGCUGGAGAUGCACUGCAUGCCUGGCAGCUGCCCCACAAGGCUGUUGUCCUUGUGUCUCCCCUGACAGUUGUCCUCGUAUCUCUGUGCUGGUGGGGGAAAGAAGGACCCAUGUUCACAAGGACCAGCUUCAGCAGAGGGACACUGGCUUUGGCCCCCUGCAGUGGGCAGACAUCCUUAGUGGGCUCAUGAGCCUGCAGUGACUUAAUUAUGCCGUGGCCAGCAUGGGAUCUCUCUGAUCCAAAUGUCCUUCUGACAGGUCCCAAACACACAACACAGAAUCACAGAGUGGUCAGGGUUGGAAGGGACCUCUGGAGAUCAUCUAGAUCUGGAGGUCCUGCUAGAGCAGGAUCCCCUACAGCAGGUCACACAGGAACACAUCCAAGUGGGUCUGGAGUAUCUCCAGAGACAGAUACUCCACAACGUCUCUGCACAGCCUGUUCCAGUGCUCAAAGUGAAACCCCAGACCCUCAAAGUGAAGGAGUUUUUCCUUCUGUUUAGCCUGAACCUCCCGUGCUGCAUUUUGUGACCACUGCUCCUUGUCCUGUCAAGGGAUUAAGAGAUUCUCCCCAGUGAUAAAAUAACUGGAGUCCCCAGGCGAGGAGAUCCUUGGGACACUUGGCAGUCUUCCCCAGCCCUACAAGGAUCCCUGCAGGAAGGUGCAUGUAAAGACCUGCCUGUGGGGUGAUGGGCUGAGGGUGUUUUGGCUGGAUAACACAUCCCUCCCAUGCCCAGGGGAUUUUCUAAAUGGAUGUAGGGAAGGGAGAAGUUAUUGCAACUCACGUCAGCCCCGUGCCUAUAGAUUUUAGAUGCAUAAAUGAUAUAUUUACAUUCAAAACUCUAUUAUUCAUAGAGUUGAGUAAACAAGUAUUGAUUUUUACACUGUAGCACAGAUGAGUAUGUCUAAUGAUGUAGCCAGAGGCUCUUCUUCCAUCCUUGGUAACUCUGACCUCAUCGGUGCUUCCCGGGAGUAGAAUUUUAACCAAGGACGAUCAAGUUUAAAACCAGUUAGCUGCAGCUGUUUGGAAUGGAAAUCAAUGUGCAUUUCUUUCUGAAUGGACAACUUCUCCACCCCCACCACGUCACGUCCUCUGACUGUUUUAGAUGCUGAACCAGACAGAAGCAGAGGGAAAGCAAGCGAGGAAAGGAUGCGUGAAGCAAUCUCAGCUCAUGGAAUAACCUUGUCUGCCUUAGGGGAAGAGGCAAAGACAUCCUGGCUGGGUGGACAGAGCAGAAAGAAUAAGCUUCAAUGUAUAAAAAAAAGAGUGAUACUACUGCAGAGCUUGUAUUAAAACUUUUGAGGCAGGUCCUGUGAGCUUGUGUCAAGAUUUCUCUCUGUUAAAGAUGCGAUGUCACCACGGACACUUAGGGGUGGCAGGAAAAAAAAAACCCACAACCCUUUAAGUGCAUUUUCCAGGAGUACGUUAUUUCAGAGGUUGACUAAAAUCACUUACUUCAUGGCUAACUUUGCUCUAUGGAAUCCAUGGACAAGUUCCUUAUUGGAUUUUUAUUGCAGAUCAAAUUGACAGAGAAAAUCACUAGGAUCUACUGAAAAAUGGGAAGGAAAUGUACGUUUCCAAUAAAAAGGUCUCUGAAGGUCUCUUGUUUCAUAGGAAGGAAGCUGUCUUUAUAUUGCAUGAACUAUAAAAAAUGAUUAAAACUGAAGAGAGACAGGAAGCUGAUAAUUUGAUUUAUCAUCUUAAUGGCUAUGAUUCAUGAAUAAAUAAUAUAAUGGUUUAUGUCUCUCUUGUAAAAGAAGUAGAGAAGAGCAAUUUGUCUAAUAAAUGACUUCAAAAAUUA
Apus apus (common swift) is the source of this 4170-nucleotide long non-coding RNA. RefSeq lists it as uncharacterized. The record is from RefSeq and is a predicted model, not a curated record. The transcript is spliced from 2 exons. NCBI's taxonomy places the organism in Eukaryota, Metazoa, Chordata, Aves, Apodiformes, Apodidae.